RNAcentral lists this ribosomal RNA (433 nucleotides) under uncultured Sphingobacteriales bacterium. RNAcentral's name for it is "bacterial SSU rRNA". It matches the Rfam family "Bacterial small subunit ribosomal RNA", at positions 948 to 1382 of the family's 1533-position model. Lineage: Bacteria; Pseudomonadati; Bacteroidota; Sphingobacteriia; Sphingobacteriales. The record is from RNAcentral.
AAUUCGAUGAUACGCGAGGAACCUUACCUGGGCUCGAACGUAAGAUGACUGUAGGUGAAAGCUUACAUCUCUUCGGAGCAUUUUACGAGGUGCUGCAUGGUUGUCGUCAGCUCGUGCCGUGAGGUGUCGGGUUAAGUCCCAUAACGAGCGCAACCCCUACCUUUAGUUGCCAUCAGGUAAUGCUGGGGACUCUAAAGGAACUGCCUACGCAAGUAGUGAGGAAGCGGGGAUGACGUCAAAUCAGCACGGCCCUUACGUCCAGGGCUACACACGUGCUACAAUGGCCGAUACAGAGGGCAGCUACCUGGUGACAGGAUGCAAAUCUCCAAAGUCGGUCUCAGUUCGGAUCGGAGUCUGCAACCCGACUCCGUGAAGUUGGAUUCGCUAGUAAUCGCGCAUCAGCCAUGGCGCGGUGAAUACGUUCCCGGGCCUU